GGACUCGGGGGGAAGUAUGCUCGCAAGAGUGAAACUUAAAGAAAUUGACGGAAGAGCACCACCAGRUGUGGAGCCUGCGGCUUAAUUUGACUCAACACGGGAAAACUUACCAGGUCCAGACAUAGUAAGGAUUGRCAGAUUGARGUUCUUUCUUGAUUCUAUGCAUGGURGUGCAUGGCCGUUCUUAGUUGGUGGRGUGAUUUGUCUGGUUAAYUCCGAUAAYGAACGAGACCUCRGCCAUCUAAAUAGCGGUCGCUAACCCGUUAGCUAUAUCCCACGGAUAGAUCCGCUUCUUAGAGGGACAAYCUGUGCAUAGCAGAUGGAAGUUUGAGGCAAUAACAGGUCAGUGAUGCCCUUAGAUGCUCUGGGCUGCACGCGCGCUACAAUGGUGCAUUCAGCGAGUUCAUCCUUGCCUGAGAAGGCUGGGUAAUCUUAAAAGUGCAUCCAAGUUGGGAUAGAUGAUUGCAAUUUUUCAUCUUGAACAAGGAAUAUCUAGUAAACGCAAGUCAUCAACUUGCAUUGAUUACGUCCCUGCCCUUUGUACACACCGCCCGUCGCUUCUACCGAUUGAAUAAUCCGGUGAACUGAGUGGAUGGAGACGAAUUCUCGGAUUUGCCUCCAGAAGCUUCGUAAACCUUAUUAUUUAGAGGAAGGACAAGUCGUAACAAGG
Molecule: ribosomal RNA, 670 nt
Filed under: uncultured Haplosporidia
Lineage: Eukaryota; Endomyxa; Ascetosporea; Haplosporida
Description: SSU rRNA
Rfam family: Eukaryotic small subunit ribosomal RNA
Source: RNAcentral